CUUUUUCUUUCCCGGAGCUUGCUCCCCGAAAGAAAAAGAGUGGCGAACGGGUGAGUAACACGUGGGUAACCUGCCCAUCAGAAGGGGAUAACACUUGGAAACAGGUGCUAAUACCGUAUAACACUAUUUUCCGCAUGGAAGAAAGUUGAAAGGCGCUUUUGCGUCACUGAUGGAUGGACCCGCGGUGCAUUAGCUAGUUGGUGAGGUAACGGCUCACCAAGGCAACGAUGCAUAGCCGACCUGAGAGGGUGAUCGGCCACACUGGGACUGAGACACGGCCCAGACUCCUACGGGAGGCAGCAGUAGGGAAUCUUCGGCAAUGGACGAAAGUCUGACCGAGCAACGCCGCGUGAGUGAAGAAGGUUUUCGGAUCGUAAAACUCUGUUGUUAGAGAAGAGCAAGGAUGAGAGUAGAACGUUCAUCCCUUGACGGUAUCUAACCAGAAAGCCACGGCUAACUACGUGCCAGCAGCCGCGGUAAUACGUAGGUGGCAAGCGUUGUCGGGAUUUAUUGGGCGUAAAGCGAGCGCAGGCGGUUUCUUAAGUCUGAUGUGAAAGCCCCCGGCUCAACCGGGGAGGGUCAUUGGAAACUGGGAGACUUGAGUGCAGAAGAGGAGAGUGGAAUUCCAUGUGUAGCGGUGAAUGCGUAGAUAUAUGGAGGAACCCAGUGGCGAGGCGGCUCUCUGGUCUGAACUGACCUGAGCUCGAAGCG
This 711-nucleotide ribosomal RNA is filed under the name uncultured bacterium. Its description in RNAcentral is "bacterial SSU rRNA". It matches the Rfam family "Bacterial small subunit ribosomal RNA", at positions 67 to 761 of the family's 1533-position model. The record is from RNAcentral.